Mesocricetus auratus (golden hamster) is the source of this 4270-nucleotide long non-coding RNA. RefSeq lists it as uncharacterized. The record is from RefSeq and is a predicted model, not a curated record. The transcript has 4 exons. Lineage: Eukaryota; Metazoa; Chordata; Mammalia; Rodentia; Cricetidae.
ACUUAAGAUUGCCCCCCCAUAUAGUCUACUCAGUUAGUAUCAGAUAAAUAAUUUUGAGUAUGUAUGAAAUGUAAGAAGAGCCUUCCUGUUUCAAACAUUUGCAGAACAUUUUGAGUUGCUUUUCUUCCAUUGUGACUCUUUACCCUCUUAAAACUUUGGAGGAAUUCACUGCAAGUUCCCACACUUGAGGCUGUUCAGACCCAGCUUACACUGGUAGAGAAGAGGAAGGACUCCAGAGUCCCAAAGGGAGGCAGUCCUAGACAGCCAAGUGUGAGCAGGGAGCCUCCUCCAUUCCCUUCUAAGGCAGAGGAUGUCAUGGGCACUCGGAAUUGAGGUGGGGCCAGGGAGCAAACAGGCUGAAGGCACAGUCCUGGAGCCUGGCAAGGGCAACCACGUUUCCUGGAUGCAUGGCUGAGCUGUGUGUCUGAAAAGGGCAACAGAGCUGGCAUUUAUGGUAUUUGGGAUUUCCACAAAACUCUUUCCAAAGAUGCCUGAAUAUUUCCUAGCAGGAGGAAAAUCCAAAAUGGUGUAGCAUGGUAACUAAGAAACUGGAGUCUGAAGUCAAACAGAACUGGGUGUGAAUUUCAACUCCACCCAUUGUGAGCUGGGCGACCUUAGGCAGAGGCUUCAUCCUGCCUGCAAACUGUUUUCUUUGUGCAAAGCUAGGCAAAAUCAGAAACUAAUCAAAUAAAAGUAUGUACACAAUAUCUGCAUCAUCAUAACUACUGAAUGAAGCCAUGACUCGCAUAGUCCAGUACAUUUUGAUGCAGAAGAGAUUGCAAGCAUGAUCUGCACCAGGUCCUCUGAGUAUACACCACAGCUGUUAGCUUGCCCAGCACUCCUGGAUUAAUCCAAGACUGGUCCAGAUUUCUGCUGGAGAAAUUUGGGCCCCCUACUUUGUAAUCAGGACAAUGAAACCAGAUAUAGGAUGGCUUCUGGACAAUCACCAUUAAAAAGAUACUUCCAUGUCUUAUGAAGUGAGUAUAUCCUUGCCACACCUAUCUGCAGAAAAGGCUCAGGCACCACCAGAUAGUGAGUUCUGUUACAGAAUGGGAUAUGCUGUCCUUUUACUAUGCCCAUGGGAUAACCAAAUGGGCACCACAGGCUUGGAACUCGAUCAGUAUGUACUGAAUUGAGUUAUUUCUCAUUUGCAGGGGAUGACACAGUUCAGUGGUAGACAGCUUGCUUAAAAUAUGCAAGGGUCUGACUUGCAUUCUCAACACUAAAAGGAAAGGAGAGAGGGAGGGAGGGAGAGAGGCCUGGUGGGAAGGAGAGAGAAGGUGGGAGGAAAAGAAACAAUAAAAAGUGCUAAGAAGUAGGACUUUAGCUGUAUUCUGUCUCUAGUUCGUCACUGACUAGUUCGUCACUGCCCACAUGGCCCACAAAGGCCAACUGAAGUCAGAAGUAAUCCCAGGCAACCUUCUAGCCUGGCUUCUUCCUCCUGCUUCCCUGAGGUCAGCCUAGCUUACCAGGAGCACUUGGAGAGUAGACCUUGGGAGAACUGGGAACUUGGAGAUUAUUCUUGACACUGCUAGCUGCCUGUGUAGAAUAAUCUUUUUAUGUGCUGGGAAGAUGUCAAUCUGAUUAGUUUAAUAAAAAGCUGAACAGCCAAUAGCCAGGCAGGAUUUCCAGACACAGAGGAGGCAGGGAAGAAGGAGGGCGGCAUUUCCAGCUGGAUGGAGAAGACGCAACACCAGCCUCACAAACUACAGGUGACCAAGCCACAAUCAAAGGUGUGUAGCACCGUGCCUGGCUAUCUCAUUUAUUUUAGCUGUGUGUAUAGGGAGCAGAUGUGUACUCUACUUUUAUCUUGCCAAAGGAAACUUGAUUUAUUCAGGUGGAUACACUCACAUUUAAAAAUAUUAUCUUACAAAAAUGUUUGAUAUCUCCAUUAUCAUGAUUUUAUGUAUACGCAUGUUAAACUUGAUCAAAUGACAUAUGUUCUGUGCAAUUUAUUGCAUGUAAAUUACACUGUGUUAAGGAGGAAACAUGGAGGCACUACUCUUCUAGACUUCCUGGUGGCCUAUUUCUUACCAAAGAGAUAUGAGCAUAAGCCUACUAAACAGGCAAGCUGUAUUGCUAAAAAGGGGGGGUGGCAUUCUUGGCUGAUUUAAACCUCUUAACAUUUUGAAUUUCUCUGUCUUAGAGAUGGAAGAGCCAUUCUGAAAGAAUGAAGACAAAACCAAACUAAAGCUAAUGAAACAGAAAGUUCAAAGGGACCCUAUACCAGCACUGACCUGUAUCCUAACUUUUUAUUUUAUAGAGAGAGCUCAAAUUUAGCUAUUUGAUUUGCCUUGUAUAUUAUGGUUUCUUUAUAUGUUGCAGCUUUGCAAUCACUCACUGAAUACCAUAAAGUGAGCGACACCACUCUACUGAUAGUCUUUGGUUGUAAAGUAAGUAAAACAAAAACUCUCUCCAUUCUGUUCCCACAAUGGCUUCCCAUGAAGACUUGCUUCCAUGCCUACCAGGUUCAUUUACUGCCCUUCAUAGAAGCAGCACAACUUAAAAUUAAAUGCUGUUUUCUUAACUUGAUAUUCUUACUUCCAGAAGCACUGGAGUCCCUAGAUUUCACCAUGUGUGCAGUCCACAGGUAGCCAGUGGAAGCCGGAGAAGAAAAUUUGAACACCCUGAGCAUUACCAAGUUCUGCUGGCAUACCCACUUCUAAAGCAAAAAAGAAAACACUCGAUAAGAUGCCUGCCUACUACUGAGUUUACUUCAUGCCUGAGCUCUCACUGUUAAAAACUGAUGAAUAAAUUAUCAUCUGUGAAGAAUAUAUCUGUUUGUAAAGAAACACAGAAAGCAAAAUAAACAGAAAGAAACCAAAUGCUGUUCCAGUCUCACUGCUCCAUUUUACUCACUUUUAAUACAAGAUUCUAGAUUCAACUGCAGUUGGAAUCUCCAUGUCUCCUCUCUUUUCCACGUGUCUUCAGCUUUUAUAGACAUCUCCGUGUAAAGGGCUACCUGGGGGACACCCAGGGCAACUUCUGAAGCUUCUGACAAGAAGAAAGAAGUCAGACGCUGAGUCUACACAGACUUCUUCCACAUACGCUUGGCUGUGCCUUUGUCUCUGUGAGAAGUGAACACCUAUCCUCCUCCAACUGGUUGAGAAGUUUCAGUGCCAAAACGUGUCUGUCUAUCAUUAUUCCUGAUAAAUCGCAGCCGUUCCAUCUCAGAUCCAAUGGCUAAACAGUGAGGGUCACCAAAUUAGCCAUUCUCCAUGUCCAGAGGGGAGAGAGACUAGAAAAUGGUUUAAUAACAGAAGAAAGUUGGUGAGGUUUAAAAACAACUGUUGAAAUUCAAUCAAAGAAACUUCCCAAGAGAAACAAAUUAUUAAAUAUUACCACAGAGAUUGGAAAGCCUGUUUUUCCUUUCAGCUCCCACAUUUUAUGAAAAAGAAAUGUCUCCCAAUUCAGAUAACAGUUUCACUGAGUGAAAACUAGGGCACACUGAACUGACCCAUUUUUUCCUUCUUUCAAAACACAAUACAGAGCAGCCAUAUAAAAUGCUUACUAUGAACAAUUUGAUGCAGUGAACUAUUCAUUCAAUAAAUUUCAGACCCUGUGCAACUUUAAAAAGAAAACAACUAAUUCUACAAGGCAACACGCCCACAUCCCAGUACUGCCGUGGUUACAAUGCAGGACAGGACCACUGCUUGCAUCUGCAUCUCUACAUUCCCUCAAGCUUCAGCAUCUUUUUGCUGCUGCCAUUGUUAUGAAAAUCAAAUCUCCUUCCCAAUGAACACUAAUCAAACUAAGUUAUUUGUAUCAGUUACUUGUCUCAGUGCUGUGAUAAAACACCUUGACAAAACAAGUUGGAAAAGGGUCUGAUUUGGGUCACAGUUCCAUUGUUCAAUCCGUGAUGAGAGAGAAGUGAUAGCGAUAAUAUUGCAUCUGCAAUCGGAAAACAGAAUGAAGAAUGUGAUGAUCUGGUGUAAAACAGAUGUCUGUAAGGCCUUGAAGGAUAAUGAAAAAAGUAUCCUUUUAUACAGCGUCCCUUAUAUAACAACAUAGAAGUAAUCCUAAAAUGUUAUUUGACUUCUGCCCAUACACCUGUUUGUCUCUAUGGUCUACAGAAAUCAUCAACUAUAUUCUCCGUAGAAUUUUUUGCAAUGUCAUUCACUCUCAAAUGAUUGAUUUGAUAGAUUUUUUAAACCUAAAUUUACAUCUUUUCAACCCUAAAUUAUAUGGUGGUACAAAAUAAUUGUUUCAAAGCAUAGACAACAAAUCAGACAAAAACUUUCAUUACACAAAAGAAAUUGGUAAAUCGAGA